This is a long non-coding RNA of Octopus sinensis (East Asian common octopus), 86 nucleotides long. RefSeq lists it as uncharacterized. NCBI's taxonomy places the organism in Eukaryota, Metazoa, Mollusca, Cephalopoda, Octopoda, Octopodidae. The transcript is spliced from 3 exons. The record is from RefSeq and is a predicted model, not a curated record.
AAUUUUGAAAGAAGUUUCUAUAAAACUAGUUUUAUAGAACUAUAAAAACUAUGACGGUCCACCAGAAAAAAAAUAAGUUUUUAAAG